This 480-nucleotide ribosomal RNA is filed under the name Triticum aestivum (bread wheat). Its description in RNAcentral is "partial small subunit ribosomal RNA". The record is from RNAcentral. Lineage: Eukaryota; Viridiplantae; Streptophyta; Magnoliopsida; Poales; Poaceae.
AUGAAAGAGCUGGAGUACAUAUAUUUGGUUUACUACCGAAAGCUGGUGCCUCAAGCUCUGCUAGCUACUAUGUUUGUUUAUUCCAAAGGUUGGGUGUUGACUUGGCUCAUCUCUUGUAUGGACAUUUUUCUGCGGAAUAGAUGUUACAGUUUCAGGCUGGAUCAAUUUUUGGGAGGAGGCCCUGGAGGCAUCUCUUAUCCAGAGAACAGAGACAGGGAGAACGAUGGGGUGGAGCGGUGGCGAUGUUGGAGGUUUCAGUUGAGGAAGAAGCAGCUAGAUCUAGCCAGGGCUCAAUCAUUUAGAAAGAUUACUGAAUGUUUGUCUCCCAGAUUCAGUUCCCUCUACUGUCAUAUCUCCUUUUGCAAUUUGCUGUAUGCACUUUAUUCACAACAGAAAUAUUUUUUCUUAUCAAUUGAAAAGGAAUCGAUAGCUGGACAAGCAGUGGAUGUAUUUUCCCGAAGUGGAACUAAAAGAUCUUAA